AGAGUGUCGUGAGCCUGAGCCGUGCAGACGCCUGGGUUCUAUUGAUUCUCACGGAAAGGAUUGAAGGUAAUCUACAUCUCUCCUUUGGCACACACGGGGGCAAUCGUCGUGGAAACGGGCACGGGGAUGUAACCCUCGACCCUCCCUAGUCGAGGGCGGCGUGCAAGGAGCGGCGGGAAGGUGGAAAUAGCGCGCAGAGCGUGGCGGCGGCCGUGAUGAAGGUGCCACGAAGACACACAAUGUCGUCUGACUCGGAAGAAGAAAAUGGGGUCAGGCAUGAAAAGGACGACAGCGAUGGGGGUAAUUAUGAUCGCAGGUCAAGAUCCCACUCCAGGUCAGCAUCCCCGGGAGAUCAGAGGUCAAAUCGGCAGAAUAUGUCCGAUAGAGAGGACUCGGUGGAGGGAAGGGAGAAUGGGAUGAGAGGGGAAUCGGACACAGAAGAAAACAGAGGGCAGAAAGGGUCCAGUCACUCGAGGACUCCAGAGGAUAAGGAAAUGAUAGAGUGGAGUGGUGAGGCAGCAGAAAAGAGACGCUCGCGCAGCAGGAGUGGUGAAGCUGAGGGUAAAGUGGCAUCUCGUAGUCGUAGUAAGAGUAAGCAGAGGGAAGUGGACACCAGUAAAGAAAGGAAAUCUAGUUCUUCAUCAUCUAAAAAGAAAUCUCGAUCCAGAAGAUCUCGCUCACGGUCACGUAGUAAGAAGCGAUCUCACUCGCGAAGUAGAAGAUCUCGCUCUAGAAGUCGGAAGAAAUCCAGGUCAAGGUCCCGAUCCCGUGGAUCAAGACGACGAUCCCGAUCCCGGUCAAGAAGGCGUUCAAGAUCUCGAUCCAGAAGUGGAACUCCAGUGGAUGGAGCUCGUCUUCAUGUAGCUGAGCUAGACGUUGACACUCGUAAGAGGGACUUGGAACGAGUGUUUGAGAAAUAUGGCCGUCUGAGAGAGAUCUGGAUGGCCCGGAAUCCACCCUGCUUCGCUUUCGUGGUUUAUGCACAUCAGAAGGAUGCAGAUAGAGCACUUAAAGAAACUGAUGGAAUUAUGAUUGGCCACUGCCGCAUCAAGGUCACUCAAGCAAGGCCCCGUGUCCGUGGCGGGCGCAUGAGGGGAGCCUACGAUCCAAAUCUGCGAUGUUACCAGUGCGGUGAACUAGGUCACUUUUCUAGAAAUUGCACAGACACCAAGUUUGGCUAUAAGCGACCCCCAACUCCCCCAGGGAUGUGUUAUGGUUUGGUAUUGUGGUCAUGUGGUUGGGUUAUUGGUGCGGUGGGGAGAGGCGCCUCCAGAGUGCCUUGAGAAGCGUCAUGAUGGCACAGCUGCGGUGGCACGGCCGCGCUCACUUCAAACAGCUCACCGGGGAUCAGGAAGAUAUCGGCACAGGUCCCGAUCGAGGUCCCGCUCACGGCACCACAGCCGGUCAAGGUCCCGUUCUUGAGGAACGGGUUCAGGAGCUUGUAGGUGAAUGGGCUGUGGCUUCUGCUCGGCAGAGUCACUGAGUCUGAUACAAGGAGAUACACAG
RNAcentral lists this unclassified non-coding RNA (1506 nucleotides) under Penaeus japonicus. Its description in RNAcentral is "serine/arginine-rich splicing factor 7-like, transcript variant X4". Lineage: Eukaryota; Metazoa; Arthropoda; Malacostraca; Decapoda; Penaeidae. The record is from RNAcentral.